AAAAACCUGAAUUCGGCUAUCUUCAAUAGUUUUCAUAGCUUAGGCCAAACUGAAAAAUUAAAAUAAGAGGACAUGGUUUCCCAGUUGUGUUUUUGGCAUUGCCUUUGUUCUCUGUUCCUUUCAUUUAGCAGGACUGGCAUUGUUCAUUGCUGUGAGAUCUACGCCUUGGACUCAGAAUUAUUGGCCAUAUUUUAUCUGGAGCCGCACGCAGGAAGAUUGCUUUGUACCACAUUUCCGACUCAGCCCAAACAUUGCCGUACGCUGCUCUUUCACCUUCCUGUGGACAUUGCAGAGCUUCAGUUGGCCUGA
Molecule: long non-coding RNA, 309 nt
Filed under: Phasianus colchicus (ring-necked pheasant)
Lineage: Eukaryota; Metazoa; Chordata; Aves; Galliformes; Phasianidae
Description: lncRNA (ENSPCLG00000002702.1)
Source: RNAcentral